UGGCUCAGUUGGUAGAGCAUGUUGUUUGUAACACCAGCAUGGUGUGUGCAACACCAGGGUUGUGGGUUCAAUUCCCAC
Molecule: transfer RNA, 78 nt
Filed under: Salmo salar (Atlantic salmon)
Lineage: Eukaryota; Metazoa; Chordata; Actinopteri; Salmoniformes; Salmonidae
Source: Rfam by way of RNAcentral